RNAcentral lists this ribosomal RNA (608 nucleotides) under uncultured fungus. RNAcentral describes it as "eukaryotic LSU rRNA". It matches the Rfam family "Eukaryotic large subunit ribosomal RNA", at positions 23 to 641 of the family's 3401-position model. The record is from RNAcentral. Lineage: Eukaryota; Fungi.
ACCCGCUGAACUUAAGCAUAUCAAUAAGCGGAGGAAAAGAAACCAACAGGGAUUGCCCUAGUAACGGCGAGUGAAGCGGCAACAGCUCAAAUUUGAAAUCUGGCCUUCUGUAGAGGGUCCGAGUUGUAAUUUGUAGAGGGUGCUUCGGCAUUGACCUUGGUCUAAGUCCUUUGGAACAAGGCGUCACAGAGGGUGAGAAUCCCGUAUGUGGCCAUGGGUCUUUGCCAUGUGAAGCCCCUUCGACGAGUCGAGUUGUUUGGGAAUGCAGCUCUAAAUGGGAGGUAAAUUUCUUCUAAAGCUAAAUAUUGGCCAGAGACCGAUAGCGCACAAGUAGAGUGAUCGAAAGAUGAAAAGCACUUUGGAAAGAGAGUCAAAAAGCACGUGAAAUUGUUGAAAGGGAAGCGCUUGCAGCCAGACUUGUUGGCGGCGGUUCAUCUGGGCAUUCGUGCCCGGUGCACUCCGCCGUCGGCAGGCCAGCAUCAGUUUGGGCGGUCAGAGAAAGGCCCUGGGAAUGUAGCUCGCUUCGGGGAGUGUUAUAGCCCAGGGCGUCAUGUGGCCAGCCUGGACUGAGGUCCGCGCUUCGGCUAGGAUGCUGGCGUAAUGGCGGC